GAUCAUGGCUCAGGAUGAACGCUAGCUACAGGCUUAACACAUGCAAGUCGGAGGGGCAGCAUGGUCUUAGCUUGCUAAGGCCGAUGGCGACCGGCGCACGGGUGAGUAACACGUAUCCAACCUGCCGUCUACUCUUGGACAGCCUUCUGAAAGGAAGAUUAAUACAAGAUGGCAUCAUGAGUCCACAUGUUCACAUGAAUUAAAGGUUAUUCCGGUAGACGAGUGGGG
This 228-nucleotide ribosomal RNA is filed under the name uncultured bacterium. Its description in RNAcentral is "partial 16S ribosomal RNA". It matches the Rfam family "Bacterial small subunit ribosomal RNA", at positions 15 to 231 of the family's 1533-position model. The record is from RNAcentral.